GGUAAAUGAAAUUUUAUGUUGGAAAUAAAAUAUCAAAAUUAAAUAGAGUAUAAAAUACAGACGUAUUGCAUGCUUCAAAAUGCACUGCUUAAAAAUGCACGAAUGCUUGCUUAAAAUAUUAGCUGAAUCAAAAUAUUCAAAAAAUAUGAAAUAAUAAACAAUUUAGCAUAAAUGUUUUCACCGACUUUUCAUGAGCAAAACAAAUAUUUAAUUUAGUGACCAUUGAGUGGAGAGAAUAUCCGCCAUUUUAUCACGAUGAAAAUAUCUGCCAAUCUAUUAACGCGUUUAAUGAUUUGAGGUAGUAAAUAACAAGUGUCGCAAUACGGUCUUGUUAUUGUUUUCAUUACUAUUGGGGGCACAAUGCUAAUAUCAAACGUCAGUGUCAACAAAUUUCUGUUAACUUCAGCUAAUAUCUAACGUCAAGCACCUAAAGCGGCCCCACACUACGACUACUAAUAACAAAAACUACCAUCAUAGCAAAGAAUGAGAGAGUUUUUGAAGAUUUCUGAGUUUCUCCCAACAUUUAAAAUUGGGAACGCAAUUUACUACAGCACUUUGUAACACGAAACUACUGUCCAUUACAUUAUAAUAUAAACAUACUUAAGG
Molecule: long non-coding RNA, 606 nt
Organism: Hydra vulgaris (swiftwater hydra)
Lineage: Eukaryota; Metazoa; Cnidaria; Hydrozoa; Anthoathecata; Hydridae
Source: RefSeq, a predicted model, not a curated record